RNAcentral lists this ribosomal RNA (551 nucleotides) under uncultured Glomeromycotina. RNAcentral describes it as "SSU rRNA". It matches the Rfam family "Eukaryotic small subunit ribosomal RNA", at positions 548 to 1098 of the family's 1831-position model. Lineage: Eukaryota; Fungi; Glomeromycota. The record is from RNAcentral.
UUGGAGGGCAAGUCUGGUGCCAGCAGCCGCGGUAAUUCCAGCUCCAAUAGCGUAUAUUAAAGUUGUUGCAGUUAAAAAGCUCGUAGUUGAAUUUCGGGGUUCAUACGUUGGUCGGGCUAUUUGGUCUGUACUUAUGUAAUGGAUUCCUACCUUCUGAAUAACCGGCAUGCCAUUAAUUUGGUGUGCCGGGGAAGCAGGACUGUUACCUUGAAAAAAUUAGAGUGCUUAAAGCAGGCUAUCGCCUGAAUACAUUAGCAUGGAAUAAUGAAAUAGGACGGCAUGGUUCUAUUUUGUUGGUUUCUAGGAUCACCGUAAUGAUUAAUAGGGAUAGUUGGGGGCAUUAGUAUUCAAUUGUCAGAGGUGAAAUUCUUGGAUUUAUUGAAGACUGACUACUGCGAAAGCAUUUGCCAAGGAUGUUUUCAUUAAUCAAGAACGAAAGUUAGGGGAUCGAAGACGAUCAGAUACCGUCGUAGUCUUAACCAUAAACUAUGCCGACUAGGGAUCGGAUGAUGUUAAUUUUUUAAUGACUCAUUCGGCGCCUUACGGGAAAC